Molecule: long non-coding RNA, 3944 nt
Organism: Macaca mulatta (Rhesus monkey)
Lineage: Eukaryota; Metazoa; Chordata; Mammalia; Primates; Cercopithecidae
Source: Ensembl
AUGGGAGCUGCUGAAGGACCUCUGGCAGUCUUGGGUGCCGGGCACACAGGGCUGGCGUGUGUGGAGGAGGUGGGUGAGAGCACGAGCCAAGCUGCUGCUGGGCCACCCUUCCUGGUGGUGAAGGAGGCAGAGGAGACCAUCAGGAGAGCCCUGGGAGACACAGCCUCGGGUCUCUGGCUAAGCCACCCUCAUCACUGUGAAGACCUGGCAGUGUGUUCACACAGGCAGCACACAAAUGCAGGACAUCACUCCGGGACAGGGUCUCCUCACAGAAAGAAGCCCGGAGCAGACAGGACCACAACAGCAGACAGAGAGGGGAGCCCAGGCACUUCCCCCUGACUCUGAAUCAGAAUCCACACAGGAACCUGGAAAUGUGUGGGGCUCAGCAGACUGCAGAGGGUGAGCAGGAAGCCUUUUCACACUCGUGGUCUAUCUCAGUGCUCGGCUGUGUGCAUCAGAACAUCACUGGGGCCCUAAGAUGGGCUGCCCGGGGCUGAGCUCUGGGAUGGGAAGGAACAAGGAGGACACGACCUCUGCUCUCACAGUGACCAGCCAUGGCCAGAAUCCUUCCCCCCAUGGGUGAAGAACACAGACUUUGGAACUGAUGAUUCCAAGCCUAUCUCAGAAAAACAAGCAAAGUGAUGUCUUGUGGGUCACAAGGGAGAUUUGCAAGGAACACCUGGCCUCUGGGGCAGCCCCUCCCUUUGCUUAGCUCAUCCCGCACUGGAACUGGCUCCCCUCCCACUUCUGCUGCAACUAGUGUGAAGCAGCUGCCCUGGCCAGGAGCUGUGAGGCUCCCUCCAGUUAAAUAGGAUUCUGGGAUAGAUCAACCUCGGCCAACACACACCAGCCCCAUGCACACAACUCCACCCCACAUAGAGAGAACGCGGCGGCUCCCAGGGACUGCAGAAUGUGCCCGUCUCUCCUUACCUGGAGCAACCACUUCACCACCACAGCCCAGGUCCUCAGUCACAACAGGAAGCUCCACUCCGGCUGCAUGUCUACAGGAAAGCCAGCGAGACGGUGACACAUUCCUCAUCACCUGGAUUCUUCAUUCACAUGGGAGGGAUUCCCCCAUACGUACCACUCUCCUGCUCUCUCCAGGCCUCCUGUAAUCACAGAAAACAUAUUGCUGUGAGCGCCAGACCAGGCUGUGUGCUGUGUGCACAGGCCUUUUCUUCACUUGGUGACAUUAGAAAACCAGAUGGGAAACAGUGCUCAAGUCCAAGGAACACAAAAGAACAGGACAAACCGACUCAUGCUACAGACACAGUUUCCUUGGAGUAUGUUUCCUCCAAGUCCAUGUGGCUUGGCAACCUAAGUAAUUUUGUUCCAAGGAGAGAAUCAAGCUGCUAAGGGAAAAGCUCACUGCCACACAGUGUGUGGCUGAUGCUGUCAUUUUAUCCUGCUAUUUAAAAUCAAGCCUCACUGGGGAACAGGCUCUCACUCAGAAUUCCCCUGACCAAGGACAACUGUAUAGGUCGUCUAUAAUACAUACUGUCAGAUUCUCAUCUCUUAGGCUCAUUCAGAAAGAUAAAGCUAGGAAAGCAACCGUAUUCCUCAAAUGCAGGGGGUCUGACCUUCACUUUCCAUGGGGCCUCCUUUUUCUUCUCCCUGAGGUGUUCCUCCAUUGGGUCCUCGGUGGAAUCUAGGAAGACAAAGUAUGACCAUCAGCAGGUGCAAGGGAGGAGCAGGAAGAACAGCUUUCUAGCCCCAGGUCGCCUCAGCAAGUGAACUAGCCCAUCUUGAACAGGGCACAGCACCCAGGGCAGGCUGGGCGUCCCUGCAGCCUCUCAGGGCUCCUGCCUCCUGAUCGGACCCAAGCUCACUUGCCCUCCCUUCCUGCGUCCUUCCAAGGUCAUUUCCUUCCUAGAAUUCACCUUCUGUGUGUAUCUGUCAUCUAGAAUAUUUUAUACUUGGUAAAAAGAAACCUUUGUCUAGGAAGAAUAUUUCAUUCUAGCCAAAAUAUUCUAUAUAUUCACUAAUCUUUUGUUUUAAAGACAAUAAAACAAAGCUUUGAAAAUAGUAAGUUAUUCUUUCUUUUAAAGAUAACUCCUACUUAACAACUGCUAUCUGUCCUGGCACUCAGCCUUCUCAAUGCAAUGUGUGUGUGUGGGUCGGGAGUCCGUUGCUGCUCACACGCACAGGGGCUCUGACGCUGGGACAGUCCAUCAUGGGACAGCAGGUGGGGGUGCGGACCCUCCCCAACCCAGCCGUGCGGGGAGAUGGGUGGUAGGCUAACACCCAAGUUGUUCCUUGAGACCAUAUUCGGUGCUGGGUCUUCACUGUGUUUACUCCUCAACUAAAGCAUUUAUUUUUCCUCUUUAUUAUUAUUUUUUUGAUAGACGGUCUCUGUCACCCAAGCUGGACGGUAGUAACUUGAUCUCUGCUCACUGGAACCUGCGCCUUCUGGGCUCAAGUGAUCCUCCCCACUCAACCUCCGAGGUAGCUGGGACUAUAGGUGCACCACCACACACAGCUGAUUAUUUUUAGUAGAUAUGGGUUUUUGCCACGUUGCCUAGGCUGACCUCCACCUCCUGGACUCAAGCCAUCCUCUUGCCUCAGCCUCCUGAAGUGCUAGGUUUAUAGCCGUGAGCCACCCACCUGGCCAACUGGAGCAUUUCUGAGGCUUGUGAUGAUCCUGUUAUUAAACACAAUAGAGCAUGUCCCUGAUUAUUCUCUGCUUUUGACCACGAACUGAGAAAUGACCCCACCACUGCUGCCGAAAGCCUGUGAACCCUCUGUGUGUUUCACAUUAAUGAUCACACCAAAGUCCAUUGGAAAAUGUAACUAUUCCUACCCUGGGUUAGGGAACCUUUGAGACCUCCCUACACCGACAGUGUUUGGGGCCUGUCUAGGCUCUCAUCCUUCCACACACAGACAGAUGCCGGAAUUCCCUGGCAUGACAAGUUAUACCAGGGCUGGCUGGUGAGUGCACAACAGUAGCCCAUUGCAUCAACCCUCCAUCCAUUCCUGAGUUCACAUUCGCCUCUUCCAUUUAGGAGAUCGAGAGCCUGGGAAAUUCAUCUCUGCACCGUCUCUAUCUGAGGAUGAGGAUAUAAAAUUUACCUUCAGGUACAGCUGUGUGAGAGGAUGAUGCGUUAAUUUAUGUGAAGUGUGCAGUGGUGAUACAAUUUUUUAGGAAAAGUGCUCCUUGGGUUGUGCUCUGCACAGGGGAACAUGCUUUCUGGGGAAACGCCCACACACUCCCAAGAUGUUCCCAAUCGCUCCACACAACUCUCUCCUCCGUACCUCCCCACCCUGAUGCACACCACACUGUUCCAUCUACAUGACAAUCCUGCCUCCCCGGACUCGAGUGGACGGUCACAGUUCUUUACUGGACUCAGCGUUUUUAACACCAAACUGUCCAAACCUCAUUUCUGUCAGGGAGCUCAAAACCAAAGUGGCUCUCCAGCAAAAGCAGACUAGGAAGUGCCACCUUUUGCAACCCUGAAGAUCUUUCCUUAGAAAAGAGUGCUUCCAGAAUACACACCUUUUUCUUUGGCGCGUUUGUCAGCCUGCAUUUAGAGAAAGAAACUGUGAGCUUCAGACCAUCCUGCGUCCUGUGUGCACAGGUCUUUUCUUCACUUGGUGACAUUAGAAAACCAGAUGGGAAACAGUGUUCAAAGGAACACAGAAGAACAGGACAAACCGACUCAUGCUGAAGUUUCUCCUGGAGGAUGUUUCCUCUCAAGGUCAUGUUGCUUGGCAAUUAAGUGAUUUUGCCCCAAGGAGAAAAGCUACUAAGGGAAAAGCUCACUGCCACUCAGGGCGUGGCUGAUGCUGUCAUUUUCUCUUGCUGCCUUAAAUCAAGCCUCAGUGGGGGACGGACUCACUCAGAAUUCCCCCCACCAAGGACACUCCCCAUUUAAGUCACCUAUGAUACAUACGAUCAUAUGUUGUUUUAAUUCAGUAAGAUAAAGCUAAGAAAGUAACUUUCAGAU